This 364-nucleotide unclassified non-coding RNA is filed under the name uncultured bacterium. RNAcentral's name for it is "contains 16S-23S intergenic spacer region". The record is from RNAcentral.
UCCCGCUUAAACGCGGGCAGUUCUGUGAGACACUUGUAACUCACCGUAGGGGUUGCGCUCGUUUUCACACUUAAGUGAACACCUCACGGCACGAGCUGACGACAACCGUGCAGCACCUGUGUAGCACCCUCGAAGGCGCCCCAAUUUCUUGGGGAUGCAGCUACAUGUCAAGCCUUGGUAAGGUUCCUCGCUUACCGUCGAAUUAAACCACAUGCUCCACCGCUUGUGCAGGUCCCCGUCAAUUCCUUUGAGUUUUAGCCUUGCGGCCGUACUCCCCAGGCGGAUGAUUUAACGCGUUAGCUAUGGUACUAAGAAGGGUCGAUACUCCCUAGCACCUAAUCAUCAUCGUUUACAGCGUGGACUA